GCCCAGUGAUGAGACCAAGGCGAAUACGAGCUUACUGAAUGAGAGUCGGGCUCCUCUUUGCCUUGACUGGCAGGUAAUCUUGGCAGUGCAGAGGAGCUUUCCUGCUCUGCUGUAAGGGCCUGCCUACAGUGAUUUGGCUCAACCCAAGUUAUUUCUUUAAAGUUACAGUGGAGUAAUCACGGGGAUGAAGCUGACAGUGUGUGUCUGUUGUGUGAGCAUUUGUGUGCAUGUGUAAAAGGCAAAGAGGUCACCCCGUUCUCUUCCUUGUUCAGUCAGCUGUGAGUUGCUUCUUUGGUAAUCUGAGGGCC
This is a small nucleolar RNA of Plectropomus leopardus (leopard coralgrouper), 308 nucleotides long. The record is from RefSeq and is a predicted model, not a curated record. Lineage: Eukaryota; Metazoa; Chordata; Actinopteri; Perciformes; Serranidae.